RNAcentral lists this ribosomal RNA (301 nucleotides) under uncultured bacterium. RNAcentral's name for it is "partial 16S ribosomal RNA". It matches the Rfam family "Bacterial small subunit ribosomal RNA", at positions 509 to 807 of the family's 1533-position model. The record is from RNAcentral.
CAGCAGCCGCGGUAAUACGGAGGGGGCUAGCGUUGUUCGGAAUUACUGGGCGUAAAGCGCACGUAGGCGGCUUGGUAAGUUAGAGGUGAAAGCCUGGAGCUCAACUCCAGAAUUGCCUUUAAGACUGCCGAGCUAGCAGGUGAGAGAGGUAAGUGGAAUUCCGAGUGUAGAGGUGAAAUUCGUAGAUAUUCGGAAGAACACCAGUGGCGAAGGCGGCUUACUGGCUCAUACUGGACGCUGAGGUGCGAAAGCGUGGGGAGCAAACAGGAUUAGAUACCCGAGUAGUCCCUGUCUCUUAUAC